AGAGUUUGAUCAUGGCUCAGGAUGAACGCUAGCGGCAGGCUUAACACAUGCAAGUCGAGGGGCAGCGCGGGGUAGCAAUACUCUGGCGGCGACCGGCGAAAGGGUGAGUAACGCGUGAGCAACGUGCCCGUAUGUGGGGGAUAGUCGAUGGAAACGUCGCGUAAUACCCCGUAACACACGGUCUCGCAUGGGACUGUGUUGAAAGAUUUAUUGCAUACGGAUCGGCUCGCGUGCCAUUAGGUAGACGGCGGGGUAACGGCCCACCGUGCCGACGAUGGCUAGGGGUUCUGAGAGGAAGGUCCCCCACAUUGGAACUGAGACACGGUCCAGACUCCUACGGGAGGCAGCAGUGAGGAAUAUUGGACAAUGGCCGGAAGGCUGAUCCAGCCAUGCCGCGUGCGGGAAGGCGGCCCUAUGGGUUGUAAACCGCUUUUGCGGGGGAGCAAUAAGGUGCACGUGUGCACCGAUGAGAGUACCCUGCGAAUAAGCAUCGGCUAACUCCGUGCCAGCAGCCGCGGUAAUACGGAGGAUGCAAGCGUUAUCCGGAUUUAUUGGGUUUAAAGGGUGCGUAGGCGGUUUGCUAAGCGGGAGGUGAAAUGCCGGCGCUCAACGUCGGAAGUGCCUCCCGAACUGGUGGACUGGAAUGACUCUGCCGUGGGAGGAAUGUGUAGUGUAGCGGUGAAAUGCUUAGAGAUUACACAGAACACCGAUUGCGAAGGCAUCUCACGAAGGGUUGAUUGACGCUGAGGCACGAAAGCGUGGGGAUCAAACAGGAUUAGAUACCCUGGUAGUCCACGCAGUAAACGAUGAAUACUAGGUGUCUGGGAGCAUAGCUCUUAGGUGCCGUCGCAAACGCAGUAAGUAUUCCACCUGGGGAGUACGUUCGCAAGAAUGAAACUCAAAGGAAUUGACGGGGACCCGCACAAGCGGUGGAGCAUGUGGUUUAAUUCGAAGCAACGCGAAGAACCUUACCUGGUCUUGACAUCCCAUUGAAUAUCCGGUAAUGCGGAUAGGCCUUCGGGACAAUGGAGACAGGUGGUGCAUGGUUGUCGUCAGCUCGUGUCGUGAGAUGUUGGGUUAAGUCCCGCAACGAGCGCAACCCUUAUUGACAGUAGCCAGCAGGUAAAGCUGGGCACUCUGUUGAGACUGCCGGGGAUAACCCGGAGGAAGGUGGGGAUGACGUCAAAUCAUCAUGCCCCUUAUGACCAGGGCUACACACGUGCUACAAUGGCGUAAACAAAGGGAGGCGAAAUGGUGACAUGGAGCGAAUCCCAAAAAUAACGUCCCAGUUCGGACUGCAGUCUGCAACUCGACUGCACGAAGCUGGAAUCGCUAGUAAUCGCAGAUCAGAAUGCUGCGGUGAAUACGUUCCCGGGUCUUGUACACACCGCCCGUCACACCAUGGGAGUCGGAAAUGCCCGAAGUCAGUGACUCAACCGAAAGGAGAGAGCUGCCGAAGGUGGAGCCGGUAACUGGGGUGAAGUCGUAACAAGGUAACC
RNAcentral lists this ribosomal RNA (1499 nucleotides) under uncultured rumen bacterium. RNAcentral describes it as "bacterial SSU rRNA". It matches the Rfam family "Bacterial small subunit ribosomal RNA". The record is from RNAcentral.